RNAcentral lists this transfer RNA (77 nucleotides) under Clostridiales bacterium. RNAcentral's name for it is "tRNA-Pro". It matches the Rfam family "tRNA". Rfam says of the family: Transfer RNA (tRNA) molecules are approximately 80 nucleotides in length. Their secondary structure includes four short double-helical elements and three loops (D, anti-codon, and T loops). RNAcentral also lists the same sequence under 1 other name. Lineage: Bacteria; Bacillati; Bacillota; Clostridia; Eubacteriales. The record is from RNAcentral.
CGGGAUGUGGCGCAGUUUGGUAGCGCACUUGCUUCGGGAGCAAGGGGUCGCAGGUUCAAAUCCUGUCAUCCCGACCA